ACUCAACCAUUUGAGCCCUUUUGAUCUUCCUUCAUCUAGUCUUCCUUUCCUAGUCCACAGAUGGCUGCCUGGCUUCAGAGAUGGGGGUUUUCCCUUUUGAACCCGGGAGACUUCAAGGCCCAGCUGAGAUGUCCGGAUAUCCGGUGCCAUCCAAGAAGCCUGAACCCCCAGCGCCGCGGCUGAUCCUCCUUGCAGGUACUAUACUAAGCCCUGCAGCAGUGAUGGUGAACCUAUGGCACAGAUGCCAAAGAUGGCACACAGAGCACUCUCUAUGGCUCCUGUUCCAAGGACAGCCUGAGACAAUGACUGAGGAGCUCUGCACCAUCACCCAGCCGGAUUCCCGAUACUUCCAUUGACAGAGGCAUUAUCAACAAAGACAUUGAUUUAGAGUGAAUUAAGUAACCAAUUUCCAUUUUCAAGGCUCCAAUUCCAUUUUGGAAGCAGGAGAUAUUACCUAGUCUUCUGGUAGGUGAAAUCUGAUUGUGUUCUAAAGGGCACAAGAACUACUGGAGGGUACCCAGAGGUCUGAAACUUGUCUAGGAUCUCUUUCCUGUUGUUAAGUGGUUUGAGCAAGUCAAGGUGUAAUGGGAUGGCCAAUGUGGAAGUAGAGCAAAGAACUGGGGGUCAGUUGAACACACAGAUACAGACUUUCCUCCUAACCUUGAGAGACUUUGGAUAAACCACAUUCUUCUCUACAAUAAUAAUCAACAUUUUAUAGUGCUUUAAAGGCACUCUGUUUAACAUCAUUUUAUCUCUUUGGAGCCUUCUAGCAACCUAAUAAGGUAGAGAUUAUAGGUGUGGGUACUAUUAUGCCAGUUUUACAGGUAAAGGAAAACUGAAGACUAGACUGAUUCAAUGAUUUUCCCAUUUUCACAGAGGUGGAAUUUGAACCCAGGACAUCUUGAUUGCAAGUCUAGCAUGCUAUGUAUUUGUGAG
RNAcentral lists this long non-coding RNA (936 nucleotides) under Monodelphis domestica (gray short-tailed opossum). Its description in RNAcentral is "lncRNA (ENSMODG00000049135.1)". The record is from RNAcentral. Lineage: Eukaryota; Metazoa; Chordata; Mammalia; Didelphimorphia; Didelphidae.